UGUCACCAUGUUGUAUCCAUUUAUGGAACACAAGGCUCCUGAAGCAGCUGGGUGCCUUCCAUCCCUUCCACCCCAGAGAUCCCUCAGUGUGGCUCCCCCUCCCCAUGACCUUAUCCCUAACUUCCUCAGCACCUUGCAGGAGUCAACAUCUCUUCCCUCACUUGGAUGACUUAAAGCAGUGUCUAGGAGAGGUGAGCGCAGCUGGCCCCACUCUUCAUCAUCUUGGCAGUCAUCCCCACAGAGAACACUUCAUGGGUUUUGGCCAAAUUUAGUCCAGCCAACACAGAAGUAAUAUGAAUUAUCAUUUGUUCACCUUCUGAUAGCCACAGAUUCAUGCUGACCUCUGUGCAUGAUCAGAUGACUGCAGGGAAAUGUUUUCUCUCUGUAGUUUUUGAAGACCACCUCGUUCCUGUGAGAGGAAUGAGAACUGAAUAGAUCAUCAUGAGAAACUACUGCAGCUUACUUCAUCUCACUCUGGAUACAGUAGCACACAUCCAGGGGCAAAGAAGCAGCAAAGUAUUGAUCACACUUCAGCACCCCAUACCAUCCCAUUUGUUCUCACAUCCAGUCCAAAUGCAUGGUAUUGAUUUUCCAAGUGAAUUAUACUGGUUUGCUAGAUGCUGCCUCUUUGUAUCACCUACUGAAAGAGAUAAGGAGAAGUGUAAUUUAGGGUAAAGAGAUAGAAUGAGAAAAAUGCACUUCUGGGUGCUGUGGGAAGCACUUAUGUAAGAAAUUCAAAUUUGCUAGAGAUCUGGUCCUGAGAAGAAUACACAGAGUGAUUAUCUGCAUUUCUCCAGAGUACUCGGUCCCCUGAGCUGGAAGACAGGGAUAGGGAGCAGAAUAAACCCCACACAAUUCAGGAGGAAGCAGUUAAUGACCUCCAUUAUACCACCUGCUAUACCACCUGGACUAUUGGUCCAUGGGGCUGGAUGGGAUCCAUUCGAGGGUGCUGAUGGAGCUGGCAGGUGUGAUUGCUAAGCCACUUUCCAUUAUUUAUCAGCCUUAUCCUAGUCAACCAGAGAGGUCCCAGGCAACUGGAGACUUGCUAACAUGACACCCAUCUUUAAGAAGUGUCAGAAAGAGCAUCAAGAGAACUGCAAGCCUAUCAACCUGAGGGCCUGGAGCAUGUGCAAAGAAGGGCAAUGAAGCUGGUGAAGGGUCUGAAACACAAGUCCUAUGAGGAGUGGCUGAGGGAAUUGGGAUUGUUUAGUCUGGAGAAGAGGAAACUCAGGGAAAACCUUAUCACUAAAACUACCUGAAAGGAGAUUGUACUGAGGCAGGAGUUGGCCUCUUUUCCUUGGUAUCUAGAGUUAGGAUGAGAGGUAAUGGCCUUAAUCUGUGCCAGGGGAAGUCCUAGUAGGAUAUUAGGAAAAGAAAUUUCUCAGAAGGUGGCGAGGUAUUGGAACAGGCUGUCCAGGGAGGUGGUGGAGUUACCGUCCCCAGAGGUGUUCAAGAAGAUGGUAGAUGUGGCACUGAGGGACGUGCUUUACUGGGCAUGGUGCUGAUGAGUUGAUGGUUGGGCUAGUUGGUGUUAGUGUUUUUUUCCAACCUUAAUGAUUCAGUGAUUCUAUGACUCUUACAUUGAGAAGACAAUUACUUUAGAACAAGAGUUUCUGUACAUGCCAGAAAAAAACAAUACAUUUCCUCCUAGAAGAAUAUAAUGCAGGAUUUUUCUGAUUUUUUCUUAUUUUUUUAAUUCUUAUUCUGCUGUCAGUGAAACAUGUACUGGGUCUGGCUGGGAUGCUGUUCAGUCUCCCCACAGCAGUCCAUGCAGUGCUGUGCUCUGUAGCCACAACAACACUGGUAUCACAUCAAUGUUUAGUUAUUGCUGAGCAGUGCUGACACAGCAGUCAGGCCUCCAGCCUCCCUAGGGCCAGAAGGUUGGGAGUGGGCAAGAGGUGUGUGGGGUGACACAGCCAGAGCAGCUGGCCUACAUCCACUCAGGGGAUGUUCCAUAUGUAAUGGCAUCACGCUCAGCAAAAAAAAGCUGGGGAAGGAGAAGAAGAGAGGAAGCUCUCCUUAUGACAAUGUCUGUCCUCUUGUCCUCCUGAGUAAACGCAUAGUGAUGUCCUGCUGCCUAAGCUGUGGCCAACACCUCUUGCUGAUGGGAAGUAGAGCAUAAUUGUUUUCUCCCUUUGUUUCCGUAUAGCCUCUGCUUGUUUAUUUUUCCUUUAAUUAAACUAUCCUAAUCUCAACCAGUAUGCCUUCUUUUCCAUCACAUUUUCUCCCCUUGAUCCUUCUAGGAGGAGUACAAAAGAAGAGCUGUGCACUUUGGCUGCCCAUCGGUGUGAAAACACUGCAGGACACCACAGCAAAGGCUUCGGAGAAGCUCCAACCCAGCCUAGUCGAAUAACUUUCCUAAUGGCUCAGCAAAUUGUGCAGUCUCCUGGCUCCAAGAAGUCACAUUGCACAAGGUGAUGAAAACUCCUCUUUUCUUUUUUUUUUUUUUGAUAAAACUAAAUGAUAAAAUACCAUUCUGCCUGUUCAUUACUAACACAGAUUAAUUUAGAUUUGGCUGUUGAUCUCAGAUUGAUUUCAAACUAUGGGUAUACUUCACUGAUGCCAUUAUACAGAGGAGAAAACAAAGACAAAGAGUGUUACAAAACUUAGCAUACACAUUUCAGGAUAUGGAUCCAUGUGGUUUGAUUCUGUCUACGUGUGCCCAUAGCAGAGUAUGGGUUAAAAUUCAGGCCUUCCAUUCUCAGUGUUCUGCCUGGUGAGCUACAGAAUGGUUACAGCACGAUUUCCUUCUGCUUUAUUGUAUGACUUAAGAUAAUCCAUAAUGUUUAUCUUCAGCCUGCUGCAUCACACAGAAACAGACUGCACUUUACUUAUAUAUGUAUCACUGUAUUCUAAUCUCUUAAGGACUAUUAAAAAAAAUAAAGUGAUGAUGGCCCUAAUAAUUAUUCCAAGAACUGGACUUGAAGACUGUAUAUGAGAGAUUCUGUCUGGCUGCGUAUACUUGCAGCUCUUUUUUUUCCCACCCAGUGAUUUACCUUUCAAGUUGAUAUUUGAGUUUUAAGCAGGUUGUAGACUUGAAGUGUUGCACAGAAGAAUUGUAAGGACAUAAUAUCUAUAAUUAAGGACCACAUUUUGCUACUGAUCCUUGCAUUUUUUGCAUUAUAAAGUACUUGGGGUUGUGCAGACAGUCAGAUACUGGCACUAUUUAAACAUUCCCAACCUUAUUACUCAGCAUAAACACUGGAACAGAUACCAGAAUAAGCUUUCUUAGCCUGUUAGUUUUGACUCUAGGUUAAUAUUAAUAUAAAAUUAAGUUGUGAAGGAAAUGAGAACAUAUUCUUGACUGAAUCCUGAUUGCCAGCUUUACACAAACUGCUCUGGAUUACCAAUGAAAUUGGAACAGUAGGAACCAACAGACCAGUAGAAGUGUCUUCUUCUUACAGGCAGCUUGUGUCAUACAUCAUCAAGAGAAAUAUCUGAAGGUACACAGGUAAAUUUGGUUCCAUAUACUUUCAAAUAAAAAGGUUUUGAUACAUGUUGCCAGUUACUGAGAUCUGCCAUGAUUUCUGAACAGUACCCAAAGUACUUUGCAACCAAGCUUAAAUUGCAGUGUCUGACAUAAUCAAACAAAAUUGACUUCAGUCUUAGGAGGAGCCAUAUGUCAAUAUUGGAGACAGGUUCUUUUGGUUUAUUGGACAAGCUUUCAGUCUCAACUAGACUGGGCUACUUGAAAGAAGGAAAGAAAAUCCUGAAAGUGAUUGAUGCUACUGUAAGUUAGCCUGGGCCACCUAUCAAAACUGGGAUAUGCAGGGACUGAUCAUCCUAAAGAAGAAUAGCAAACCUUGUAGGCUUUAGCCCUGUGGCAUACAUCCCAUUUAACCUCCAGCAAUUUAGGCUGAAUCCCCUCUGCUUUUCUUGCUAAGUCUCAGGAGAUGUUCUGAGUAAAUAAAGGCUGCUACCCUCCUCAGCACCCUCCAACUCUUCCUAUCUGAG
RNAcentral lists this long non-coding RNA (3954 nucleotides) under Gallus gallus (chicken). The record is from RNAcentral. Lineage: Eukaryota; Metazoa; Chordata; Aves; Galliformes; Phasianidae.